UACAGAGACUGCAAGCGUUAUUCGGAUUCACUGGGCGUAAAGGGUGCGUAGGCGGUCGGUUAAGUCUGAUGUGAAAGCCCUCGGCUCAACUGGGGAAUGGCAUUGGAAACUAGCUGGCUGGAGUACCGGAGAGGGAAGCGGAAUUCCUGGUGUAGCGGUGAAAUGCGUUGAUAUCGAUAGGAACUCCGGUGGCGAAGGCGGCAUACUGGACCACAUCUGACGCUGAGGCGCGAAAGCCAGGGGAGCGAACGGG
Molecule: ribosomal RNA, 253 nt
Filed under: uncultured bacterium
Lineage: Bacteria
Description: partial 16S ribosomal RNA
Rfam family: Bacterial small subunit ribosomal RNA
Source: RNAcentral